RNAcentral lists this ribosomal RNA (378 nucleotides) under uncultured bacterium. Its description in RNAcentral is "bacterial SSU rRNA". It matches the Rfam family "Bacterial small subunit ribosomal RNA", at positions 29 to 408 of the family's 1533-position model. The record is from RNAcentral.
AAUGAACGUUGGCAGCGUGGAUUAGGCAUGCAAGUCGAGCGACAAGGUCCUUCGGACUGGAGGAGCGGCAAACGGGGUAGGUAAUACAUCGGAACGUACCCUCACGUCUGGGAUAGCCACGGGAAACUAGUGGGUAAUACUGGAUAAUCUCACCACUUGUGAAGAGUGGUGAGCAAAGGUACCGCCGCGUGAGGAGCGGCCGAUGCGAUACUAGAUAGUUGGUGGGGUAAUGGCCUACCAAGUCUAAGAUGUCUAGGGGGUGUGAGAGCAUGGCCCCCACCACUGGGACUGAGACACUGCCCAGACACCUACGGGUGGCUGCAGUCGAGAAUCUUUGGCAAUGGGCGCAAGCCUGACCAAGCGACGCUGCGUGCGGGA